GCUUUGCCAGGAGUAUGGAGUUCAAAAAGAACAUGGUCAUCGAUGACUCCACCAUUUGUUUCUAGUGGCUGGAGUGAAACGACGUGCUGGACACCACUUAGGAUGUCGUUUUGUAACACCAAGGGACCUCAAAAACCGUUCCAUCUACUUCCACUUUGAGUCUCCAUUUCUAUCUUCUUUGUCCAUAAACAUCAAGAGUUAUUGAAUUUUAUUCCAAGUAUAUGGUGAAUAUUUUUAUGUAAAUAUUAAAUUAGUGUUAGUUUUAUUUUAUAAAAUGGACUUGCAUUUAUAUGAUAAAAUUGAAGCAUAGGGCUAUCCUAUAUUCAAAUUUGAGUUCCCAUACCAUGCACGGAAGAAAUUAGUUCAAAUAAUAUUUUGCUUCAAGUGAUAAAUGUUAAUUCCUUUUAAAUAAGAUAUUGAAUUUUAAUAUCGUGCAUGGUAAAAUGGUUAAAAAAAAUUAGGACUUGCAGUUAAUUAUUGUUAAAAAAUCUUGAUAUGAUAAAUAGGUAAUUAUCACUUUAGGGAAAUUUUGGUAUUAUAUUUGUUAAUUCAAUAUCUUAUGCUUGGCAAAUUUCAUUAUGCAUAUGGCUCCCUAAUUUGUGAAAAAAUUCAGCAAUUGGUGCAAUAUUUAUGUGACAUUUUGUAUGCUCUUUGCAAUAUAUAUGUUUAUAUUCUUCUAGCAACUACGAUAUUUGGGCUAUAUUACUGAACUUGUAAUAAUUUGUAAAUCAUGCACUGCUCAAUCAGGAUAAGACACUUUAAAGAUACAUUUUUUUAAUAUUUAUCACCAUUAUUAUUAUUUUUAUUAUAAAUUUUUUAGUUUUUUAUUGAGAAGUUAUUGUAAUACUACUUUUCCUUAAAAUCAAAGGUAUAUGUUUAAUAUAUUGUAUAUACUACAUGCAAUUUGAACCAAACUUAUGGGCCGUGUUGGCCUGAACUUAUUGGCAAGCAUCACAUGAAAAAUGGAUUUUUUUUUUCAUCCUAAAAUAUCCAUCUGCCAUAUUUGUCUACGAAUGGACAAAAUAGAUGGGCAGCAGACAUUAUUAGAAAAAGUAUAGAACUUUAACUAUGCAAUUGUAUAUGUAUUUUAUCAAAUGUAAGAAAAUGUGUUCAACUUGUUAUAUAUAUAUUUAUAUAUCAAAUGUGAGAAAAUAUUAUCUUUUUCUUAUUAUAUAUAUGCAUUUGUAUUUAUGUAUUAUAUAUGUAUAUAUACAAUUCAUUUUAUAUUUUGUAUGUAAAUUAUGUACUAUAUAUAUUUUGUAUUAUAUAUAUGCAUUUCAUUUGUAUUUUAUAUGUUUAUUUCAUUUGUAUGAUUAUUUAUUAUGAUAAAUACAUUUGUAUCAAAAUAUAUAAUCUUUAUUUUGUAAAAAUAAUGUAUAUACAUUUGUAUGUAUUUUUUUAAUUUUGUUUAAAGUUGUCUGCAAGUCCACCAUGCACAUAUUUAAGAUAAAUAAAAUAUGAUAUUUCAUGCCUAUUUAAAAAUGGGUAUAUACUCAUAUCUAUCUUAAUUUAGAUGGACAUUACUUGAACAUAAGUAGGAUAGACAAGACGACCUUACUUACCAAUAUUAAUUGACUGUGAGAUUUAAAAAUAAAACUUAGACAUGUUAUUCUUGGUCAAACUGUUUUAUGAUACAAAAUGGGCACAUUAAAUUGAAAAAUAAAGUAAUAAAUGGUUAAAUUACUUUUAUUAAUAAUGAAUAUUGAUAAGUUCUCCAAAUACUCAUAUAUUGAAUAGGAAAGAUAUAUAAUAGUUUAUGAGUUUUAUACAUUAUUAUUAUAUAAUCAUUAUUCAUAUUUAACUAUCGUGAUUUUUUAAAAACAAUUUAAACAAAUGUUAAAUAAUAUAGUAAUUGUAUAUAUGUCUAUACACUAAGUGCAUAGAUAUUACAUUAAUAUUAAACUGAGAAUUGUUAAUAUACUUAAAGAGUUUAAAAUUUGUUUACUGAUAAUGUAAAGUUUUUUAUACUGUCAGUACAUCAUCCACUAUUUAUUUGUAUUAGUUUUGUUUGAGAAUCAAUAGUAAUUAACAAAUCAAUGAUGAAUAAUUUACUGACAGUGUACAAAACACUUAUACUGUCAAUGUAUAAUAUUAAAUCUAUACUUAAAACAUUAAUUAUUGUUUAUAAGGUUGGCUGAGCACGUGAGAAAGCAGAUUGUGUGUUUGAGAAGGAACGACGUCGCUUUGCCAGGAGUAUGGAGUUCAAAAAGAACAUGGUCAUCGAUGACUCCACCAUUUGUUUCUAGUGGCUGGAGUGAAACGACGUGCUGGACACCACUUAGGAUGUCGUUUUGUAACACCAAGGGACCUCAAAAACCGUUCCAUCUACUUCCACUUUGAGUCUCCAUUUCUAUCUUCUUUGUCCAUAAACAUCAAGAGUUAUUGAAUUUUAUUCCAAGUAUAUGGUGAAUAUUUUUAUGUAAAUAUUAAAUUAGUGUUAGUUUUAUUUUAUAAAAUGGACUUGCAUUUAUAUGAUAAAAUUGAAGCAUAGGGCUAUCCUAUAUUCAAAUUUGAGUUCCCAUACCAUGCACGGAAGAAAUUAGUUCAAAUAAUAUUUUGCUUCAAG
RNAcentral lists this long non-coding RNA (2566 nucleotides) under Lupinus angustifolius (narrow-leaved blue lupine). RNAcentral's name for it is "long non-coding RNA (LANG_LNC000505)". Lineage: Eukaryota; Viridiplantae; Streptophyta; Magnoliopsida; Fabales; Fabaceae. The record is from RNAcentral.